CUCGGCCGAGCUCGUCAUCGACGCGAUUAAAAUGUACCCAUAUCUGUAUGACAAGCGGCACCCUUCUUUUAAAGAUCGGACAAAAAAGGACCGGGCUUGGGCAGAGAUCGGAAGCAUGUUCGGCAUGUCGAGGUACUGUGCAACAUGAGUGCCAUUGACCAAAGCAGCCACAUCACAGCAGAAGAGGCUAACGAGAGAUCACCGCCUCGGCCAAGCCAUGCAGCGGAACCGGAACGUAC
Long non-coding RNA from Rhipicephalus microplus (southern cattle tick), 239 nucleotides. The record is from RefSeq and is a predicted model, not a curated record. Lineage: Eukaryota; Metazoa; Arthropoda; Arachnida; Ixodida; Ixodidae.